RNAcentral lists this transfer RNA (89 nucleotides) under Amborella trichopoda. It matches the Rfam family "tRNA". Rfam says of the family: Transfer RNA (tRNA) molecules are approximately 80 nucleotides in length. Their secondary structure includes four short double-helical elements and three loops (D, anti-codon, and T loops). Further hydrogen bonds mediate the characteristic L-shaped molecular structure. tRNAs have two regions of fundamental functional importance: the anti-codon, which is responsible for specific mRNA codon recognition, and the 3' end, to which the tRNAs corresponding amino acid is attached (by aminoacyl-tRNA synthetases). tRNAs cope with the degeneracy of the genetic code in two manners: having more than one tRNA (with a specific anti-codon) for a particular amino acid; and 'wobble' base-pairing, i.e. permitting non-standard base-pairing at the 3rd anti-codon position. The record is from Rfam by way of RNAcentral. Lineage: Eukaryota; Viridiplantae; Streptophyta; Magnoliopsida; Amborellales; Amborellaceae.
CCAAUCUUAACUCAGUGGUAGAGCGGAGGAUUGGAAUGGGUUGCCGUCAUAUCAUCCUUAGGUUGCUAGUUUGAAUCCGGCAGGUCGGG